AUCUAUGCCCUGAUAGGUCUUCAGUUACUCAUGGUGAAACAUGUAAGCCUUGAAAAACUUUUUGUAUGGAGUUGUGCUGGGAAGCAGUUUUCCCACCAGGGACAACAUCUUCUAGUCCUUUUACAUCUAAGUAGUACCAUGAGACUGGAUCAUGCCAAAGAAAUGUUUUGGAAGUGAGAUGUUUGACUUUGGAACCAAGGAACUGAAAAAACAGAUAGAGGGAGCCCAAGCCAAGAAGAGAGGUCUGGUAUCAAAGAUUUGCUGAAUUCACAAUUGCAGAGGCUUAUGUCAGUCCCUUAGAAAGAAUUUGAGGACUCCUUGGAAAAUUGCUGAGUUGAGUAAAUAUUUCCUUCCAUAAAGGUAAAUAAGCAUCUCAAGAGCAAGUUUCUACAUUUUGUAUUUCCCUGUUUUCUUUUCUGUAAAAUUGUGCGACCAAGAAUUAUGACCUACUGAUAUUAGAAUAAAAUUUGCAGAAGUUUGACUACAUGA
Molecule: long non-coding RNA, 489 nt
Filed under: Pan troglodytes (chimpanzee)
Lineage: Eukaryota; Metazoa; Chordata; Mammalia; Primates; Hominidae
Description: lincRNA
Source: RNAcentral